Non-coding RNA from Nicotiana tabacum (common tobacco), 969 nucleotides. Lineage: Eukaryota; Viridiplantae; Streptophyta; Magnoliopsida; Solanales; Solanaceae. The record is from RefSeq and is a predicted model, not a curated record.
AAACAACACAUCUAACCCUAGAGACAACACUGAAACGGCACCCAUCUCCUAGCCCGUUUCUGCCCCGCUUCAACUCGCCGAGUUUGUUGGUCCCUCCUUGCAUCUCUCUCCAACAUGGCUUAACCAUUUCUGACAGAUUCUCUCUCCCUCACAUGCGCUCUCUUUGUUUUUUUCCGGAUUUUUACUCUUUUAGAUGGAAAUUAGGAAAAAUGAGAGGCGUAGGAUUGAGUGAAAUUGGAUCCACUCCCUCCAUUUGUCCGUUUUUUCCAUCAAAAAGGGUAAAAAAUCAGAUUUGGAUUUUGCGAAUUUUUGGGAGAUUUCUUGGGAAGGAAGCAUAGAAGGUUCGAGAAUAUUGGAGGUUUAUAUAUAAAGUAAGGAUUUUCUUGGUUAAGGGGUCAGAGAUUUCUUUCGGAAAUUGAGGGAGGUAAAAAGUUCGAGGGUUCUUGCUUUUCUUUUCUUCAGAUUCCUCAAUUUUAGUUUGCGCUUUUCAGAAAACAAAAAUAAAAAAUAGUCUGAGUUUGAUUUUGUUUUAGUUUUACUUCAUUUCAAAAGAAAAAUAAAAAAUUACCAAAAUCUCAACAUUUUUCUGAUUUCUGAUUCUCAAGAAUGGAGUUGGAUUGAAGUUUAAGUUGGAGCUUGUGUUUGGGUUCGGAAUUUCGGUGCCGUUUUGAGUUCCGUUCGAGUUUGUUUCUGAUUUCAUUCGGCUUAUUCUAGCUUUUCUCUGUUCAAUCGGAUCCAGGUAUUUGAUCGUUAGUAGCUAUGUGGAUCGUUGUUGUGAAGACUCAAGGUAGACCUGUUACUGCGUUCGCAGGCCUCGGAGUCACCUUCUAUUGUACUUAUUUCCAUUGUUUCCUUUUGUUCUGGAACAACAAUGUAUUCAUUUUGUAUAACUACUCCUAGAAAGGCUUAUGACUUGUAUUACGGGUUUUGGGAAUCUUGUAUUGUACAAAGACAUCUAAUUCGAAGUUA